RNAcentral lists this small nuclear RNA (92 nucleotides) under Tupaia belangeri (northern tree shrew). The record is from RNAcentral. Lineage: Eukaryota; Metazoa; Chordata; Mammalia; Scandentia; Tupaiidae.
GUGCUCACCUGGGCAGCACAUGUACUAAAGCCGGGCUAGCAUGGCCCCUGCGCAAGGGUGACACGCAAAUUCAUCAAGUACUCCAUAUUAAA